This 253-nucleotide ribosomal RNA is filed under the name uncultured Chroococcidiopsis sp. Its description in RNAcentral is "partial 16S ribosomal RNA". It matches the Rfam family "Bacterial small subunit ribosomal RNA", at positions 524 to 776 of the family's 1533-position model. The record is from RNAcentral. Lineage: Bacteria; Bacillati; Cyanobacteriota; Cyanophyceae; Chroococcidiopsidales; Chroococcidiopsidaceae.
UACGGAGGAUGCAAGCGUUAUCCGGAAUGAUUGGGCGUAAAGCGUCCGCAGGUGGCAGUGAAAGUCUGCUGUCAAAGGUCAGGGCUCAACCCUGAACAGGCAGUGGAAACUACACAGCUAGAGUGCGGUGGGGGCAGAGGGAAUUCCCAGUGUAGCGGUGAAAUGCGUAGAGAUUGGGAAGAACACCGGUGGCGAAAGCGCUCUGCUAGGCCGCAACUGACACUCAUGGACGAAAGCUAGGGGAGCGAAUGGG